GACGAACGCUGGCGGCGUGCCUAAUACAUGCAAGUAGAACGCACUUGCGAACGGGUGAGUAAUGCGUAGGUGCCUGCCUCAUAGCGGGGGAUAACUAUUGGAAACGUUAGCUAAUACCGCAUACUGUGAGAUGGACCUGCGUUGUAUUAGCUAGUUGGUGGGGUAAAGGCCCACCAAGGCGACGAUACAUAGCCGGGCUAGUAGGGUGAUCGGCCAAACCGGGAAGGAGACAGGGCCCAGAUUCUUCCGGAGGGAGCAAGAGGGGAACUUUGGCAAUGGGGCGAAGUCUGACCGCACAACGCCGGGUUAGGGAAGGAGGUUUUCGGGUCUUAAAGCCCUGUUGUGAGAGAAGCGGUAACUAAAGAAAAAGGGACGGCUAACUCCGUGCCAGCAGCCGCGGUAAUAC
This 406-nucleotide ribosomal RNA is filed under the name uncultured bacterium. RNAcentral's name for it is "partial 16S ribosomal RNA". It matches the Rfam family "Bacterial small subunit ribosomal RNA", at positions 28 to 526 of the family's 1533-position model. The record is from RNAcentral.